CCUACGGGUGGCUGCAGUGGGGAAUUUUGGACAAUGGGCGCAAGCCUGAUCCAGCCAUGCCGCGUGCGGGAAGAAGGCCUUCGGGUUGUAAACCGCUUUUGUCAGGGAAGAAACGGCUCGGGCUAAUACCUCGUGCUAAUGACGGUACCUGAAGAAUAAGCACCGGCUAACUACGUGCCAGCAGCCGCGGUAAUACGUAGCGUACAAGCGUUAAUCGGAAUUACUGGGCGUGAAGCGUGCAGACAGGUGUGAAAUCCCCGGGCUCAACCUGGGAACUGCAUUUGUGACUGCAUGACUUGAGUACGGUAGAGGGGGAUGGAAUUCCGCGUGUAGCAGUGAAAUGCGUAGAUAUGCGGAGGAACACCGAUGGCGAAGGCAAUCCACUGGACCGGUACUGACGCUCAUGAACGAAAGCGUGGGGAGCAAACAGGAUUAGAUACCCCAGUAGUC
This 450-nucleotide ribosomal RNA is filed under the name uncultured bacterium. Its description in RNAcentral is "partial 16S ribosomal RNA". It matches the Rfam family "Bacterial small subunit ribosomal RNA", at positions 338 to 795 of the family's 1533-position model. The record is from RNAcentral.